Molecule: ribosomal RNA, 549 nt
Filed under: uncultured bacterium
Lineage: Bacteria
Description: bacterial SSU rRNA
Rfam family: Bacterial small subunit ribosomal RNA
Source: RNAcentral
UAGGGAAUCUUCGGCAAUGGACGGAAGUCUGACCGAGCAACGCCGCGUGAGUGAAGAAGGUUUUCGGAUCGUAAAGCUCUGUUGUUAGAGAAGAACGUUGGUAGGAGUGGAAAAUCUACCAAGUGACGGUAACUAACCAGAAAGGGACGGCUAACUACGUGCCAGCAGCCGCGGUAAUACGUAGGUCCCGAGCGUUGUUCGGAUUUAUUGGGCGUAAAGCGAGCGCAGGCGGUUCUUUAAGUCUGAAGUUAAAGGCAGUGGCUUAACCAUUGUACGCUUUGGAAACUGGAGGACUUGAGUGCAGAAGGGGAGAGUGGAAUUCCAUGUGUAGCGGUGAAAUGCGUAGAUAUAUGGAGGAACACCGGUGGCGAAAGCGGCUCUCUGGUCUGUAACUGACGCUGAGGCUCGAAAGCGUGGGGAGCAAACAGGAUUAGAUACCCUGGUAGUCCACGCCGUAAACGAUGAGUGCUAGGUGUUAGGCCCUUUCCGGGGCUUAGUGCCGCAGCUAACGCAUUAAGCACUCCGCCUGGGGAGUACGACCGCAAGGUU